This 253-nucleotide ribosomal RNA is filed under the name uncultured bacterium. RNAcentral's name for it is "partial 16S ribosomal RNA". It matches the Rfam family "Bacterial small subunit ribosomal RNA", at positions 524 to 776 of the family's 1533-position model. The record is from RNAcentral.
UACGUAGGCAGCGAGCGUUGUUCGGAGUUACUGGGCGUAAAGCGUGCGUAGGCGGUGUCUUAAGUUUGUUGUGAAAUCUCCCGGCUUAACCGGGAGGGUACGGCGAAUACUGAGAUGCUGGAGUGCCGGAGAGGUAAGCGGAAUUCCUGGUGUAGCGGUGAAAUGCGUAGAUAUCAGGAGGAACACCUGCGGUGUAGACGGCUUACUGGACGGUAACUGACGCUGAGGCACGAAAGCGUGGGUAGCAAACAGG